Ribosomal RNA from Danio rerio (zebrafish), 115 nucleotides. NCBI's taxonomy places the organism in Eukaryota, Metazoa, Chordata, Actinopteri, Cypriniformes, Danionidae. The record is from Ensembl.
GCCAGCAGCUAGCUCUCUGAAAAUCUCAUAUGGUCGCCCUCUGAAGCUAAGCAGGGCUGCACAUGGUCAGUACCUGGAUGGGAGACCACAUGGGAAAGCUAGUUUGCUGCUGGAA